RNAcentral lists this long non-coding RNA (277 nucleotides) under Elaeis guineensis (African oil palm). Its description in RNAcentral is "long non-coding RNA (EGUI_LNC056779)". The record is from RNAcentral. Lineage: Eukaryota; Viridiplantae; Streptophyta; Magnoliopsida; Arecales; Arecaceae.
AUUGAUUUAAUUGAGAAUUUAAACAUCAAAAUAAUAAAAAAAUUUAAAAAAUUUAAUGCAUAUAUUUUUUUAAUUUUUUAGGCAAAAAUCAGAGCAAAAAUCCAAUAAAAAUAUCUUAAAAAAUAAAUUUUAUUACCUUCGAUACACGGUAGACCGGUCUCUCGAUCCACAUAAGCGAUGGCGUGGUCCAUAGGAACAGUUUGCAAUAUUUUGGCACGAUCUACGGGUGAGCGAAAGAAAAUUUACAUCAUCUGAUGGUUGAUAUCAAUUCUGAAGG